Phrynosoma platyrhinos (Desert horned lizard) is the source of this 71-nucleotide non-coding RNA. NCBI's taxonomy places the organism in Eukaryota, Metazoa, Chordata, Lepidosauria, Squamata, Phrynosomatidae. The record is from the annotation of a GenBank genome assembly.
GCCAAUGUGGUUUAAUGGUUUGAGUGUUGGACUAGGACUCUGAAGACCAGGGUUUGAAUCCUUGUUUGGCC